This 450-nucleotide ribosomal RNA is filed under the name uncultured bacterium. Its description in RNAcentral is "bacterial SSU rRNA". It matches the Rfam family "Bacterial small subunit ribosomal RNA", at positions 354 to 796 of the family's 1533-position model. The record is from RNAcentral.
GUGGGGAAUUUUGGACAAUGGGCGAAAGCCUGAUCCAGCCAUGCCGCGUGCAGGAUGAAGGCCUUCGGGUUGUAAACUGCUUUUGUACGGAACGAAAAGACUCCUUCUAAUAAAGGGGGUCCAUGACGGUACCGUAAGAAUAAGCACCGGCUAACUACGUGCCAGCAGCCGCGGUAAUACGUAGGGUGCAAGCGUUAAUCGGAAUUACUGGGCGUAAAGCGUGCGCAGGCGGUUAUAUAAGACAGAUGUGAAAUCCCCGGGCUCAACCUGGGAACUGCAUUUGUGACGGUAUAGCUAGAGUACGGUAGAGGGGGAUGGAAUUCCGCGUGUAGCAGUGAAAUGCGUAGAUAUGCGGAGGAACACCGAUGGCGAAGGCAAUCCCCUGGGCCUGCACUGACGCUCAUGCACGAAAGCGUGGGGAGCAAACAGGAUUAGAAACCCGGGUAGUCC